Molecule: ribosomal RNA, 425 nt
Filed under: uncultured cyanobacterium
Lineage: Bacteria; Bacillati; Cyanobacteriota
Description: bacterial SSU rRNA
Rfam family: Bacterial small subunit ribosomal RNA
Source: RNAcentral
GGGGAAUUUUCCGCAAUGGGCGAAAGCCUGACGGAGCAAUACCGCGUGAGGGAUGACGGCCUAUGGGUUGUAAACCUCUUUUUUCAGGGAGGAAUCAAUGACGUGUACCUGAAGAAUAAGCAUCGGCUAACUCCGUGCCAGCAGCCGCGGUAAGACGGAGGAUGCAAGUGUUAUCCGGAAUCACUGGGCGUAAAGCGUCUGUAGGUGGUUGAAUAAGUCAACUGUUAAAUCUUGAGGCUCAACCUCAAAAUCGCAGUCGAAACUGUUUGACUAGAGUAUAGUAGGGGUAAAGGGAAUUUCCAGUGGAGCGGUGAAAUGCGUAGAGAUUGGAAAGAACACCGAUGGCGAAGGCACUUUACUGGGCUAUUACUGACACUCAGAGACGAAAGCUAGGGUAGCAAAUGGGAUUAGAUACCCCAGUAGUC